This 468-nucleotide ribosomal RNA is filed under the name uncultured bacterium. Its description in RNAcentral is "partial 16S ribosomal RNA". It matches the Rfam family "Bacterial small subunit ribosomal RNA", at positions 28 to 507 of the family's 1533-position model. The record is from RNAcentral.
GACGAACGCUGGCGGCGGGCUUAACACAUGCAAGUCGAACGGAAAGGCCCUGCUUUUGUGGGGUGCUCGAGUGGCGAACGGGUGAGUAACACGUGAGUAACCUGCCCUUGACUUUGGGAUAACUUCAGGAAACGGGGGCUAAUACCGGAUAGGAGCUCCUGCUGCAUGGUGGGGGGUGGAAAGUUUCGGCGGGUGGGGAUGGACGCGCGGCUGAUCAGCUUGUUGGUGGGGUAGUGGCUUACCAAGGCUUUGACGGGUAGCCGGCCUGGGAGGGUGACCGGCCACCUUGGGCCUGCGAUACGGCCCAGACUCCUACGGGAGGCAGCAGUGGCGAGUAUUGCACAAUGGGCGGGAGCCUGAUGCGGCGACGCCGCGUUCGUGAUGACGGCCUUCGGGUUGUAAACCGCUUUCGCCUGUGACGAAGCGUGAGUGACGGUAAUGGGUAAAGAAGCACCGGCUAACUACGUG